This 616-nucleotide long non-coding RNA is filed under the name Rhinopithecus bieti (black snub-nosed monkey). RNAcentral's name for it is "lncRNA (ENSRBIG00000045833.1)". The record is from RNAcentral. Lineage: Eukaryota; Metazoa; Chordata; Mammalia; Primates; Cercopithecidae.
GGAUACGGUUCAACCCACAAAAGAUGGCAAAUAGCUUUUCUAUCGAUGUGACCCUGGUGGGUUCUGAGGAUUGAUGGAUGUUGUCUUGCCAUGGGCUCAGCAGGAAGAAGUGGCCACACAUAUUGCUGUCUGUGCACCUGCAACAAAUCCAUCUCCUGUCUAUUAAGGCUGACAUAGCCUCUGUGGCCCAUGGGCUCCAGCAGGUGGAGCAGAGAUGCUCUCACCUUGGUCACUGGUUCCUGGCUCCUAGGGCAGGUACCCUGGAAGAGUGUCUCAGCGCUGCUGCUGUUCUUCACCAUCCUGAAGCUAGGCAUCACCUUCUUGUCUACCUUCCUGGGCUUCCAUGCCACCUUCUGCUGCACCAGCUGUACCUGAACCCAGCUCAGGAAGUUCCCACGGCCACAGCAGCCACUCCCAGGAUCCACCCACGCAGGCGUCACAGCCCCCAGCCUCGGCCUGCACUCGAGGCAUCUGCUGCUCCUGGGAGCUGAGCUCCUCCCGGCAUCUGACCUCUGGGGCUCUGUGAUCUUCCCCUUCUGCUGGCUGCAGGGUUGGCCCUCCCUUUGUAACACCCAGCCCCAGAGAUCACUAUCCCUACCCCUCAUACAUGCCCCAG